CCGGCAAUAGUCCAGUGGUAGAGCCCCCGCUUCGCAUGCGGAGAGACCUGGGUUCGAUUCCCAGCUAGCGGG
RNAcentral lists this transfer RNA (72 nucleotides) under Toxocara canis (dog roundworm). It matches the Rfam family "tRNA". Rfam says of the family: Transfer RNA (tRNA) molecules are approximately 80 nucleotides in length. Their secondary structure includes four short double-helical elements and three loops (D, anti-codon, and T loops). Lineage: Eukaryota; Metazoa; Nematoda; Chromadorea; Rhabditida; Toxocaridae. The record is from Rfam by way of RNAcentral.